CGGCAAGUGGACGAUUGGAAGUAAAAGUCGUAACAAGGUCUCCGUUGGUGAACCAGCGGAGGGAUCAUUACCGAGUUUACAACUCCCAAACCCAAUGUGAACGUUACCAAACUGUUGCCUCGGCGGGAUCUCUGCCCCGGGUGCGUCGCAGCCCCGGACCAAGGCGCCCGCCGGAGGACCAACCAAAACUCUUAUUGUAUACCCCCUCGCGGGUUUUUUUACUAUCUGAGCCAUCUCGGCGCCCCUCGUGGGCGUUUCGAAAAUGAAUCAAAACUUUCAACAACGGAUCUCUUGGUUCUGGCAUCGAUGAAGAACGCAGCGAAAUGCGAUAAGUAAUGUGAAUUGCAGAAUUCAGUGAAUCAUCGAAUCUUUGAACGCACAUUGCGCCCGCCAGUAUUCUGGCGGGCAUGCCUGUCCGAGCGUCAUCUCAACCCUCGAACCCCUCCGGGGGGUCGGCGUUGGGGAUCGGCCCUUUACGGGGCCGGCCCCGAAAUACAGUGGCGGUCUCGCCGCAGCCUCUCCUGCGCAGUAGUUUGCACACUCGCAUCGGGAGCGCGGCGCGUCCACAGCCGUUAAACACCCCAAACUUCUGAAAUGUUGACCUCGGAUCAGGUAGGAAUACCCGCUGAACUUAAGCAUAUCAAUAAGCGGAGGA
RNAcentral lists this ribosomal RNA (655 nucleotides) under uncultured fungus. RNAcentral's name for it is "eukaryotic LSU rRNA". The stretch from base 272 to 425 matches the Rfam family "5.8S ribosomal RNA". Lineage: Eukaryota; Fungi. The record is from RNAcentral.